GCAGUUUCCUCUCCUUCUCUCUCUCCUCCUCACGCCACACUUUCUCAUUCUCUCUCUCUCGUUCGUUGUUCUGCAACUGUAACAAUGGCGUCAGCUUCGAAGCAGAACCCUUCUUCUUCAAAACCCCCAAGGCAUACAUCUCCCAUCACUACCUCAAUUCCCUCUAAAUCCGGUGUACCGGAAGAUUCCCAAUCUCGAAACCCUAAUAAUAACCCGUCGAUUUCGAUGGCGGUGGAGGAUCAGAUCCUGGGACGUUCCACUCACCUCACUCGCCCGGAGCUUCUCCGACGCAGAUCGCACUAUUUGAAGCAGCUCGCUAGAUGCUAUAGAGACCAUUACUGGGCUCUAAUGGAGGAUCUCAAGGCGCAACACAGAUAUUACAGCUGGAACUAUGGUGUUAGUCCUUUCAAAGAUGAGAAUCAUCAGCAAAACAAGAGACGUAAGGUAGAAGGAGGAAACACUGGGGGGGAUGAAAUUGAAGGUAGCGGAGACAAUGAUAAUAAUAACAACAGCAACGAUGGCGUUAAAAGUGGUAACUGUGUGGCUUGUGGUAGUGGAUGCAAAUCCAAGGCUAUGGCACUCACCAAUUACUGUCAGCUUCAUAUUCUCAUGGAUAAAAAACAGAAGCUUUACACGUCUUGUACUUACGUCAAUAAAAGAGCUCAGUCAAAAGCAAUAACUUGUCCAAAACCAACACUUGCAUCGACUGUUCCUGCCCUGUGUAACGUGCACUUCCAGAAAGCACAAAAGGAUGUUGCUCGUGCUUUGAAGGAUGCUGGUCAUAAUGUUUCUUCAGCAAGCAGGCCUCCCCCGAAACUCCAUGACAUAGUAGCCGCGUUUGUGCAUCAUAUUCAAACAAAAAGAAAAGAUCCACGAAAAGAGGCCAAAUUGAAAAGCUUAGUGAAAGAAGAAAUUACAAGCUAAAAUCAAACAGACAGGAAGCUGUUUGUUUCCACGAUUGUGCAAAAAGUAAGAUUAACCUUUACAAGGUUACAAUUUACAAGGAGCUUCAGUCAAGCGGGUAGCAACAUUGACUCAGUGGUUUAGUUAAGCCAUCUAGAUAGAGGAUAUCUUUGGAUAUCAUCAGGUGCCAGUAUCUAGGUCUAAAGUAGAAUUCACAAGUCCCAACAGUGUGUUCCUGUGACAAAAUUGUUUCAGACAUAGAUAUAGCAGUUGACACUCGAUGUUUUUGAGCUACUGGUAGCCUUCAUGGCUAUGUGAAAAAACGAUGUCCUUUGUGUGAUUUCUGCUGCGACCUUUCGCUACAACUCAAUCUAAAUCGAUUUGUCUU
Non-coding RNA from Camelina sativa (false flax), 1291 nucleotides. Lineage: Eukaryota; Viridiplantae; Streptophyta; Magnoliopsida; Brassicales; Brassicaceae. The record is from RefSeq and is a predicted model, not a curated record.